Pezoporus occidentalis (night parrot) is the source of this 2386-nucleotide long non-coding RNA. RefSeq lists it as uncharacterized. The transcript is spliced from 2 exons. The record is from RefSeq and is a predicted model, not a curated record. NCBI's taxonomy places the organism in Eukaryota, Metazoa, Chordata, Aves, Psittaciformes, Psittacidae.
AAGAUGUCGGCUAUGGUGGUUCCCUGCAGCCAGAGAGGAGGGAUUUCUUAACCCUGAGGGCUGACGGUAGCAGGAUCCUGCACAGAAGGCUUCCCAAGGAGCUGCCCUGCCAACAACGCUAGGCCUUUUGGAGCAGUGGGGCUGAGAGUGCUGACUGUGUACACAGGACCUGCGUAACCUGAUGGAGGUCCCUAUGAGAGAACGUGGAAGUGGUCAUUCCCUGCUGUGAAACCUGGGGAUCAGGGGACACAGGUUUAAAUAAAGUGUCCAUGCCCUUGCCUCAACCUGCCAUAGGUGCAAAGGUAUAGCUGUCACUGGCAAAGAAUAGCUGAGAGCAACAGAGUCAUUGGGAAAUAGGGCACUUGCCUUUAGAUGGGGUCUGUGCCCCUACCCAAAGCACUGGGCACCAGAUGUGAUCAUGCCACAGGCUGAAAGCUGCAGCUCCAGAGCAUCUGGCAUGAAGAAUAGUGUCUCUCAGUCUUUAAUGCCUGACUAUUCUGAUCAUCCUCUUUUAAUUUUUUGCUGACUAACUACAUCCAUAAGUUCUUUGCUCUACUAAAAAUCUGCUUAAUGCACAGCCAUGUUGUAAAGUCAGGCUGCAGUUCCAACAUCACUAAUCCUAAAAGAAGCAUUUGUUCAAAAAAAAAGAGGGAUCCAUUUCCCUAGGAAAUGUGCUUUGAUUUACGAAACAGAAAACGUAUUCUGAGCCAUUCAUGUGACAGGUCACUAUUUCACCCUUUUGGUGCAGUAAAAGCUUAUUCUUUUAAUAGGUUUAUUGCUUUUUGGUUAUUCGCUUCCAAAGGACUCACUUGAGUGCUGCGGCUCUGAUGUGGAGUAGAGAAAAUUAAUUCUUUUUAUGGUAGCCUGUUCCUCUCGCAAGCCCUCAUUUUAAGUGCAGCUCAACUGCAUUACAAAUAACAGUAUGUGGUCCUAGGGGGAGUACAGAGCCUCUAAUUUAAUAUUGUACCAGAGGCCUCAUAAUGUCAGUGAUGCCAGAUCAAGCUUUUCUCUUUCAAGCCCUCCUCCCUGUCCCAAGGGGAGUUGUGAGAUACCAGGCUGGCUGUUGCCAAUGUGUGUGGAUGCUGCUGGGGGUGCUUGUUCAUUCUUCUGGGUUUGGGCUUUCUGGUCCUGUGGCAUCCCAGAGGCAAAUGGAAUUUGUCUGCACAGCCCUGGCUUACUUCUGAAACAACUGCUUAUUGUUAUUUACUGUGGUUCUCUUUCUGCAUUGUCAGUUGCCAGACUUAACAAGGGAUGCGAGCAUCUUAUUCCUGCCUGCAGGGCUGGUGGUCAUGGGCUGGCUCCUAUGGGAGCACAUGUGGAACUGGAGGCAAUGCUCCGUGAAAGAGGGAAAUGGCACUGUUUCAGGAUGUCAUUUGCAAUUAAGCUUGUAGUCGUUACCUUGCUUUGAAAGACUUUGGAAAAGUGUGGGCAUAUGGACUUCUUCAGGAGUCAGUUGUUUUCUAGAGGCAUAUUGUGAGUGGUUGAUGGGAUAGAAAUAAGGAAACCAGAGUUCUCCCAAAUGGUGAAUUGCUUUUGGUUCUCCCAUUAACAGAAGGUCUCCCUUUCAAGAUUACUUUAUUAAUUGGGCCUUUUAUCAUCUCUUACAUCACCAAGGAAAGGGAAAAGAUAUCAGCCACUGUGUGUGGCCUUGCAGACAGCUACCGGCUGCAAAAUUGAGCACUUCCCAUCAAAAAUUAAUUAAAUUAGCCCAGAUUCCAUAAGUAAUACAGCCAGAUCUGCCUGGUACCUCCCAGGAGAAGCACGUUCCAAGUCAAGUGCACCCAGAGACCACAUUUGGAAGUGAGGCAAUUAUUAGUUUAAUUCAGUCAUCAAAUUAAUCUUACAGAAGCAGAAAAUGCCUGUCGCUGGAGGAGGUGGCAGGAGCAUGAAGCACACAGCCUGCUGGGGCUGCAGUGGGGCUGUGGUGGAGGCAGCAAGAGGACAGACACACUGACCGCACUGUCUGACCACCGGCAGUGACCAGAGUGUGUUGGUCUGUUCUCCCCAUGCUUUUCUAGAUGGGGUUUUAUGGUGCCCUCGGUGCCAUAAAAUCCAAGGGGCAUAAACCAGUGGCAGCUUCCCUACCUGCCACAGCUACUGUAUAGGAUGAGCAUGGAGAAGUUAAGACCAGGAACUGGACAGGGCUCCUAGGCAACAACUUGCUUAUCAGCCACUGAAAAGAAGCAGUCAUGACACCUAAAUUAGAGUCUGAUAGUAGGUAGUUUGACUGCAGCCCGAAGCAUUGCCAUGAAAUGCAUUAAGUGACCUGUCACAUGCAGUUUGCUGUUACGCUUAUCCUCUGCCCUGGAGACAACUGCGUGCACAGUGAGUUAUUUGUAGUGGUAGGGAAUUUUUUAAGUAAUCAUACAGCUUUAUGUCUGCUGGA